AAGCUUUGCCCUCCUGCGGAAGCAACUUCGUUUCUGCCCAACUUGUUCUAGCUAACACAAAAUUACCUGUUUCAUCACGAAGACAACAUGUGAAACCAGAAGAGUUGGCAACAUCAUAGUUACAUUUGACAAAUCCUAUAGGAGGAUUUUCCCAACUAACCUCAUUCCUUAGAGCUGCUAUGGAUAUAUCUUGAAGAUUCAAUCUGGUUUGGUGCGCUAAUCUCCAAAC
This 229-nucleotide long non-coding RNA is filed under the name Glycine max (soybean). RNAcentral describes it as "long non-coding RNA (GMAX_LNC003266)". Lineage: Eukaryota; Viridiplantae; Streptophyta; Magnoliopsida; Fabales; Fabaceae. The record is from RNAcentral.